GUGGCUCAAAGGAGUAGGGCGCUGGCCCCAUAUGCCAGAGGUGGCGGGUUCAAACCCCGCC
RNAcentral lists this transfer RNA (61 nucleotides) under Otolemur garnettii (small-eared galago). It matches the Rfam family "tRNA", at positions 7 to 64 of the family's 71-position model. Rfam says of the family: Transfer RNA (tRNA) molecules are approximately 80 nucleotides in length. Their secondary structure includes four short double-helical elements and three loops (D, anti-codon, and T loops). Lineage: Eukaryota; Metazoa; Chordata; Mammalia; Primates; Galagidae. The record is from Rfam by way of RNAcentral.